This 57-nucleotide ribosomal RNA is filed under the name Rhizosphaera oudemansii. RNAcentral describes it as "partial 28S ribosomal RNA". It matches the Rfam family "Eukaryotic large subunit ribosomal RNA", at positions 1 to 57 of the family's 3401-position model. The record is from RNAcentral. Lineage: Eukaryota; Fungi; Ascomycota; Dothideomycetes; Dothideales; Dothideaceae.
UUGCCUCCGAUCAGGUAGGGAUACCCGCUGAACUUAAGCAUAUCAAUAAGCGGAGGA